UUCACUCCUGAAAACAUGGCCGUGGUCCAUAAACCCAGUGCUUUUGGUCAAGGUGCAGAGCAUCCCAAUGAGAUGUAACUCCUUUUUAUCAUGCAUUCCAGGGAGAGCUUGUCUGUCCUCUGCAUGGGAAGCCUUACCUGGGCAGGAUGGCCGCAGCGACCCCACUGGGAGCGGAAGACUUUGGAGACACAGUUGUUGCCCUCCACUGCAGCUGUAGUUCCUGCCGGGCAGAAUGUCCAUAAGGGCUGACUUAUUCAGCUGUCCUACGAAACAAAAGCUUGGCAGUUAGUUCUGUGGGCAAAGAACGUAGACAAUAAUGUAAGUAAGACCUCAAGUUCAAGUGCUGUGGGGAGCUUUGUCCGUGUGUGGAGUGGAGCUCAAUGGAAUCCGUGUCUAUAUAAGACACAAAAUCUCUGAGAACGGACCGAUGAUGGGAAUGGGUGAUGAACCUGAAACAUGUUUGAUCUCAGUUGGAGGUGCUUUCGUCAUUGUUUUCUGCUGAGAAACAUUUGAUAUUGCUUUUCAUUUGCCAACACAAAUGAUUGAAACAUUUCCCUGCUGAUGUGAUCCUGGCUGGCCAGCCCUCCUCUGACAGCCUGAGAGAGUGUUGGAAGCGGGUGGCCUCCUCUCUUUUCAUUGAACCAUCUUUAAGACAGGCAGACUGACUCAAAAG
RNAcentral lists this long non-coding RNA (673 nucleotides) under Chinchilla lanigera (long-tailed chinchilla). RNAcentral's name for it is "lncRNA (ENSCLAG00000024076.1)". The record is from RNAcentral. Lineage: Eukaryota; Metazoa; Chordata; Mammalia; Rodentia; Chinchillidae.